Molecule: ribosomal RNA, 329 nt
Filed under: uncultured eukaryote
Lineage: Eukaryota
Description: partial 18S ribosomal RNA
Rfam family: Eukaryotic small subunit ribosomal RNA
Source: RNAcentral
CCCUUAGAUGUUCUGGGCCGCACGCGCGCUACACUGAUGCAUUCAACGAGUCUAAAACCUGCUCUGAUAGGGGUGGGUAAUCUUUUGAAUGUGCAACGUGAUUGGGAUAGAUGAUUGCAAUUUUUCAUCUUCAACGAGGAAUGCCUAGUAAACGCAAGUCAUCAGCUUGCAUUGAUUACGUCCCUGCCCUUUGUACACACCGCCCGUCGCUCCUACCGAUUGAAUGAUCCGAUGAAUAUCAUGGAUUGAGGAUGCAAGUAGGUUCGCCUAUCUUCAUCUUCGAGAAGUGAAGUAAAUCUUAUCAUUUAGAGGAAGGAGAAGUCGUAACA